This 460-nucleotide ribosomal RNA is filed under the name uncultured bacterium. Its description in RNAcentral is "partial 16S ribosomal RNA". It matches the Rfam family "Bacterial small subunit ribosomal RNA", at positions 338 to 795 of the family's 1533-position model. The record is from RNAcentral.
CCUACGGGUGGCAGCAGUGAGGAAUAUUGGUCAAUGGACGAGAGUCUGAACCAGCCAAGUAGCGUGAAGGAUGACUGCCCUAUGGGUUGUAAACUUCUUUUAUAUGGGAAUAAAAUGUUCCACGUGUGGGAUUUUGUAUGUACCAUAUGAAUAAGGAUCGGCUAACUCCGUGCCAGCAGCCGCGGUAAUACGGAGGAUCCGAGCGUUAUCCGGAUUUAUUGGGUUUAAAGGGAGCGUAGGUGGAUUGUUAAGUCAGUUGUGAAAGUUUGCGGCUCAACCGUAAAAUUGCAGUUGAAACUGGCAGUCUUGAGUACAGUAGAGGUGGGCGGAAUUCGUGGUGUAGCGGUGAAAUGCUUAGAUAUCACGAGGAACUCCGAUUGCGAAGGCAGUUCACUGGACUGCAACUGACACUGAGGCUCGAAAGUGUGGGUAUCAAACAGGAUUAGAUACCCGUGUAGUC